GCGCCAAUGGUACUGCACCUUAAUCAGUGUGGGAGAGUAGGACACCGCCGAAC
Molecule: ribosomal RNA, 53 nt
Filed under: Gordonia westfalica J30
Lineage: Bacteria; Bacillati; Actinomycetota; Actinomycetes; Mycobacteriales; Gordoniaceae
Source: RNAcentral